Molecule: ribosomal RNA, 691 nt
Filed under: Enterococcus faecalis
Lineage: Bacteria; Bacillati; Bacillota; Bacilli; Lactobacillales; Enterococcaceae
Description: bacterial SSU rRNA
Rfam family: Bacterial small subunit ribosomal RNA
Source: RNAcentral
AUGCAAGUCGAACGCUUCUUUCCUCCCGAGUGCUUGCACUCAAUUGGAAAGAGGAGUGGCGGACGGGUGAGUAACACGUGGGUAACCUACCCAUCAGAGGGGGAUAACACUUGGAAACAGGUGCUAAUACCGCAUAACAGUUUAUGCCGCAUGGCAUAAGAGUGAAAGGCGCUUUCGGGUGUCGCUGAUGGAUGGACCCGCGGUGCAUUAGCUAGUUGGUGAGGUAACGGCUCACCAAGGCCACGAUGCAUAGCCGACCUGAGAGGGUGAUCGGCCACACUGGGACUGAGACACGGCCCAGACUCCUACGGGAGGCAGCAGUAGGGAAUCUUCGGCAAUGGACGAAAGUCUGACCGAGCAACGCCGCGUGAGUGAAGAAGGUUUUCGGAUCGUAAAACUCUGUUGUUAGAGAAGAACAAGGACGUUAGUAACUGAACGUCCCCUGACGGUAUCUAACCAGAAAGCCACGGCUAACUACGUGCCAGCAGCCGCGGUAAUACGUAGGUGGCAAGCGUUGUCCGGAUUUAUUGGGCGUAAAGCGAGCGCAGGCGGUUUCUUAAGUCUGAUGUGAAAGCCCCCGGCUCAACCGGGGAGGGUCAUUGGAAACUGGGAGACUUGAGUGCAGAAGAGGAGAGUGGAAUUCCAUGUGUAGCGGUGAAAUGCGUAGAUAUAUGGAGGAACACCAGUGGCG